This is a non-coding RNA of Neurospora crassa OR74A, 662 nucleotides long. The record is from RefSeq and is a predicted model, not a curated record. Lineage: Eukaryota; Fungi; Ascomycota; Sordariomycetes; Sordariales; Sordariaceae.
CUUUGUUUUUUUUUUUGGGACCUCAUGACACCAAAAAACUUUCAUCACAACCAGUAACCGUGUCAAAUCCACACAUCACUUACCAACCAACAACCAGCAACAUGUCCGGCGUAGUCAAUCCCUGCCACAGCUGUGGUUUCCCUUACACCACCCCUGGCGCGCCGUGCCCUCAAUGCCAGAAGGUAGGCAAAAAGAAGAUGACCUUCCUUCCUUCGUUCCUUCCUUCCUUCUUUCCUUUGCUUGCAUCUCUCUCUCUCGCCUUUUCGGGGAAUCACAAGAUACCAAACAAACGCAGUAACUAACCAUUCCCUCCCAAUUACAGUGAAGCAGAUGAGGAUCGACUCUAGGAGAGGACGGAAACGGGGAGAGUGUGGUGAUUGAUGUUGAAUAAACCCAUCUCCACCUCAGGUACCCACCCAAGGUACAAGACAUCGAUACAGUACAUGGCAGGAUUGAGGUGAAUGAUUUGCCUUGAAAGGGGGGCAUUAUCGACAAGAUAAGGUACCUUCAAGAUGUUCCGGGAUUUUUCUGUGUAACGGAAUGAAUGGAAGGGUGCCGGGUAGGUGGGUGGGUGGUUGGUCCAGUUGGUUCGUUAGGACCUCUCGUCUUCUGGUCUUGUACUGUACCUAGACAAGAAAUUUGCAAGAGAGUUCACGCCGUCA